Molecule: small nucleolar RNA, 116 nt
Filed under: Sorex araneus (European shrew)
Lineage: Eukaryota; Metazoa; Chordata; Mammalia; Eulipotyphla; Soricidae
Description: Small nucleolar RNA SNORA68 (ENSSARG00000019076.1)
Source: RNAcentral
AAUGACCGGGUAACCCAGCCCCAUCACUACAAUCACAGGACAGAGGACAACUGGGUCUCCUGCUGCAGGGGGGCUGGGGCCCUGGCCUUCAAAGUGAAUCUAGAGGUUCUACACUA